CCACUUUUCCAAGCAGAUUUUUAUUGCAAAUGUAAGACAACCCUGUAAGAGUUACUGCCCUUUGUUGUUUGACUCCUCCAGCCAAACAAAGAAAAUGGCAGCCAUUGUGGACACUGUCCACUAGCAUAGAUGAAUCAUCAGUGUUUUAUAGAUACAAACAUAAACAGAAGAAAUGAAAGGAGUCAUCAUCAAUACACUGCCUGCAGCACUUCGGACUUUAGCAAUAGUGGUGGUCAGUCAUUAAGACAGAAAACUCAGAGGAGCAUUUAUUACCACACGAUAGAGAAAAUAACAAGGAGAAUCACAAUAUUGUUUGACACGGAACCGUUAUAAUCAGCAUCUUCAUGAGUAUGAAAAUUGUCAAAAACGCAGAGGGAAAACUACACCGAUUUAUAGUCAAACAAGGUAAAAAGUACAGAAAUUACAGAUAAGCCAUAUCAGCAAGAUGCAACGACGGUCAAAGAGCAG
Molecule: long non-coding RNA, 468 nt
Organism: Saccostrea echinata
Lineage: Eukaryota; Metazoa; Mollusca; Bivalvia; Ostreida; Ostreidae
Exons: 3
Source: RefSeq, a predicted model, not a curated record